This 440-nucleotide ribosomal RNA is filed under the name uncultured bacterium. Its description in RNAcentral is "partial 16S ribosomal RNA". It matches the Rfam family "Bacterial small subunit ribosomal RNA", at positions 338 to 795 of the family's 1533-position model. The record is from RNAcentral.
CCUACGGGAGGCAGCAGUGGGGGAUAUUGCACAAUGGGGGGAACCCUGAUGCAGCGACGCCGCGUGGGUGAAGAAGCGCCUCGGCGCGUAAAGCCCUGUCAGCCGGGAAGAAAAUGACGGUACCUGAAGAAGAAGCCCCGGCUAACUACGUGCCAGCAGCCGCGGCAAUACGUAGGGGGCAAGCGUUAUCCGGAUUUACUGGGGGUAAAGGGGGCGCAGACGGCGAUGCAAGCCAGGAGUGAAAGCCCGGGGCCCAACCCCGGGCCUGCUCUUGGAACUGCGUGGCUGGAGUGCAGGAGGGGCAGGCGGAAUUCCUGGUGUAGCGGUGAAAUGCAUAGAUAUCAGGAGGAACACCGGUGGCGAAGGCGGCAUGCUGGACUGCAACUGACGGUGAGGCCCGAAAGCGUGGGGAGCAAACAGGAUUAGAUACCCUGGUAGUC